This 73-nucleotide transfer RNA is filed under the name Camelus dromedarius (Arabian camel). It matches the Rfam family "tRNA". Rfam says of the family: Transfer RNA (tRNA) molecules are approximately 80 nucleotides in length. Their secondary structure includes four short double-helical elements and three loops (D, anti-codon, and T loops). Lineage: Eukaryota; Metazoa; Chordata; Mammalia; Artiodactyla; Camelidae. The record is from Rfam by way of RNAcentral. RNAcentral also lists the same sequence under 1 other name.
GAGGGUAUAGCUCAAAAGGAAGAGUGCCUGCUUAGCAUGCACACGGUCCUGGGUUCAACCCCCAGUGCCUCCU